RNAcentral lists this long non-coding RNA (3301 nucleotides) under Nicotiana tabacum (common tobacco). Its description in RNAcentral is "long non-coding RNA (NTAB_LNC013082)". The record is from RNAcentral. Lineage: Eukaryota; Viridiplantae; Streptophyta; Magnoliopsida; Solanales; Solanaceae.
GGAAAUAUAAAAUGCAACAUCUCUUUUUUUGCUCUUUUUUUUUUGGAUUUUUGACUUGUAACACAUCUUCAAAUACAAUAAUAAAACACUCGGCAAAUUUAACUAGACUAUUACAAACUCAAAAAUUAACUAAAUGACUGAAUACUACUGUACAGGACUAGAAAGUAAAACAUGAACAAAAGACUCUAAAACAUAAAAAAAAAAAAACUCCUCAGGCAACUCCCGAAUGCAGUGAUCCUGGGGUAUCUGUCAUGUUCAAACUCCGGUAAAUAAAUCCACACCUGUAUGAGAAAAUUAAAACAAAAUAGGUUAAAGGCCUAGAACGCUAUGUGAGACAAAACCCCUUUCUGUUGGAAACAUGCAAGACAUGAUUUAGGCUAUUUUUUGCAAAAUGGUUUAUUUAGCCAAAAGAUGGCUAGAAGUGAAAAUUUGGCUAAGACCCCGCAAAGCCAAGAAUCUAAGAUUUACUAGGAAGACCGGACCCUAUGUGGGUUGCCUACGUAUCACGCCCCGAAAGACGAGAAUCAGGUAUGCGUAGUUCGGGCAGAUUGGAUACGGGCGAGAAUAAUAAAACAACUGACAUAUAGAAAACACAUUUUUCCUCUUUUUUUUCAAACAAUAAUGAAACAUAUAAAAUCUUUUUGGAUUUUCUUUUCUCUUUUUUUUUUGAAAAAUGAUAAAAUUGCAAAAUCUUUUCAAUUUUCAAGCUCUUUUUUUUUUUAACAAAAAUGUAACAAAAAACAUAAUUGGGUCUUACUCUCUUUAUCCUCACACUUCACCCUUUUUUUUUCCUUUUUUUUUUCUUCCCUUUUUUUUCAUUCGCCCUCAAUUAUCAUUGGUCCGCCAAAUGACCUUUUUACCCUUGAAGGAAUGCAACAUGUAGCACACAGGAUGCAUCGAGAUGGUCUGUUAUUUUGGGUACACUUGUCCUGGACGAACCCAACCCCUGUGUUGAGUCCCCUAAGUCAAAUGCACGUGAUGCAAACAAACGUUCCUACUAGGAUCCGGCAUGAGGUUGUGUUCUUCUAGGUUUAAAUCCUGGGGUUUUGUUCUAGACUUGGGGUACCCGAGCGGACAACUGGGGCCGAAGAGGGGGCGACGUACCGGGAGCACUGAAGUCUACCCGGCCUUGUCGCUUGCCCAACCUCAUUCUGUUUGGUAUAAUUUCUACAGAAAAAGCGGGCUACGCGAACGUAUGCACCAUUUUCAGAAGACUCAGAGGGGUGGCGUAAGAAGACAGUUAUAUACGAUUCAAACAAUAUUAAAGCGGCAAACAUAUAGCAUUUAGCGCAAAAGGUUCACAGAAUACAGUAAUAUCAACAAUAAAUAAAACCAAGCAAAAUCAUAUUAACAAGCUCGAAUUCUUGAACCUCAACUAGAGAUUCUGGGUUCGAGUCCCCAGCAGAGUCGCCAGAGUUGUCACACCUCCUUUUUUACUUACACCCCAUAAAGGGUAUAAAUAUAAGGGAGUUUUCCAAUUAAAGGACAAUCGAAACGAGAUUAUUUUAUUUACAAAUUCAGAGUCGCCACUUGGGAUAAUUUAUGGUGUCCCAAGUCACCGGUUCAAAUCUCGAAUCGAGGAAAAGGAUUGACUCUGUUUAACAGUCCGCGAACCAGAAAUCCGAGUAAGGAAUUCUAUUAACCCGGGAGAAGGUGUUAGGCACUCCCGAGUUCCGUGGUUCUAGCACGGUCGCUUUGAUUAUACUUGGCUUGACUAAUUGUUUAACUACUGAAUUUAGAACCUAUGUGCAUUUACUCUUUUAACUGCUUCUAAUCACUUGAUUUAUUAGUAAUUAAAGAAUUGAGUUACGCGUACGUAUACUAUUUUCUUUUGGCGCAUCAGAAAUCAUCUCACGCGAACGUGUCCACAAUUAAUAACGCUUGUUUAUUUAUUUAAGAAAAAUUUGGUUGAAGUUGCGAGAACGCAUACCUCGAGUCUUUUAAGAGUUUGAUUUGCAAUUAUGUUACGCAAACGUAUACAUAAUCGCAAUGCUAAUCUAAAUCGGUCCUAAAGCAAACUACGAUGGUUCAAAUUAAUAAAAUGCUUGCGAGGGCCAUGGAAAGUUUAUUCACAAUAGUACUAACUCUUGAAUUCAAUUUGUGAGGUCCAUAUAUUAUGGGUUUUAAAUAUGGCACAAUUCGGAAAAAAGGUAUAUAUUUUAAAGAGAAUCUAAAGGUACACUAAUUAUCACAACCGCAUCACGGGAGCCGUACCCAUAGUUGUAAUAAUUUAAUUGCAUUCUUAAAGCAAUCUACGAGAUUCAUUUUUAUAUCUAAUUUAUAGGAUUAAAGACAUACCAACAGAAAUUCUAUGAACCCAUGAAAUUGCUAUACUAAGAUAACAUCAACAAGAACAAAUAAGCUCCAAAAAAUCAACUCGUUUUUAAUACCAAUCAUAGUUUUGAGUUUCUCGGAGAAUAACUAUGGAGGUACGUCCAUUUCUUCUCCACAAACUCACAAUAGCAGCUAGAUACAAAAUUUUCACACAUACAAUUACUACAAGUUCAGAAUUCUCAACAUUCCAACUAAUUGAUAAUGGAAUUUAAACUGACGAAUCCUCCAAAACAAAUAGGCGCAAAGUACUACAAUAAAAUUCAUACUCAACAAAGCUAACAAGAAAUAUGCAAUUCGAAGAAAUACGACUGAAUCAUGGCCAUAAACAUCAUACUAACAAAAAGGGAACGAACCUUUAACCAAAUUGAAACUCAACCUCAAAUCGGAAACAAAGAACAACGAUUUCAAAUCGAACCUCGACGGCGCCAAAAAACACUAGGAAUUUUCUGCUCAAGGCUUCUGUUGGAUUUUCGCCCACUUCUGAUUAGCAACAGAUUGUGAGCGGACGAAGUGGAUCAGUGAGUGUGUGUAUGGGUUUGCCGCUGAAGCUUAGGUCUGCCGUUUUUAGUUUUUUCCAUUGAGCUCAAAAGCUUUCAUUUUUGGCUGCUGCAUUGGAGAUCGACGAAAGGAGUAUCAAGAGGAGUGGUGUUGGAGGCUGCUUUGGUAUAGGGGUCGAAGGUAAUCGAAAACCGUUCUAGAUUAGGGAUCUGUUUUUUGUUUUCUUCUUUGUGAGGAAGAUGAUCCUUCUUCUCUGAUGGAAACGACGGUGUAGUUUUGGCUUUUUAGAAGCUAGCUUUGAUGACUUUUCUUCUAGAUUUUAGGCGUUGGUUUUUUGUAGAAAGAAGCAGAACCGAUAGGAUCUCCUUUUGGAAAAACGGUGGAUGUGUUGUCUUCUCUUUUCUAUUUGGGAUUAGGUAUUAUUAUAUAGGGGAAGGAAUUAGGUUAGGGGUUUGGGCCUAGGAAUUAU